UUGUCUCCAUUACGGGUGAGAUGACUACGAGAAAUUUUCCAUUUAAUCAUUCAAAUACUUAAGGACUCUAGUUUGUCAAUAUAGAUUAAUGCAGAAAACUCAGCAUUACAAGAUCGAGGCUAGAACUACAAGAGAACUUGAACUGAAGGUCCCGUCUGGCAACUCUAUAUGAAAGUCCAUGUGUCCAGUCACAUUCAGACUGAUGUUGUAUGGAGGCUGUUCUGAUCGAGGCUAGAACUACAAGAGAACUUGAAUUGAAGACCCCGUCUGGCAACUCUAUAUGAAAGUCCAUGUGUCCAGUCACAUUCAGACUGAUGUUGUAUGGAGGCUG
Physella acuta is the source of this 331-nucleotide long non-coding RNA. RefSeq lists it as uncharacterized. Lineage: Eukaryota; Metazoa; Mollusca; Gastropoda; Physidae. The record is from RefSeq and is a predicted model, not a curated record.